CUUCCAUGUGGGACACGAGCCCUUGAUGCCUGAUAAAGCCUGAAAGCCACAGUCUGCCCUGGAAACCCAGCUCCAGCCUGCUUCCGCCACAUCAGGAGGGGAAGGAGGAAAUUGAAAGUGUGAAACACCAGUGGGAGGAAAAGGUUCCUCUAACAAAUGUGGUUAUCAAUGGGAUAGAAGCUUUCUAGAGCUUAUAUAUGGGGCCGAGUCAUGCACACUUCAUCAUAUUCACCAGGGGAUGACCCAGAGCACCAUUCUUCUCUGGUCUGACACCUUCAUCCUCCACUUUCUGCCUCCUUUGCAGUGACCAUACAGGUGCAGAGCACAAGCAGGACGCACAGGGGUUUAUGUGGUCAGGCCUGCCUGGAGUUGGCACACAGCAUUUCUGCUUACAUUCUUAGGUCUGAAAUCCAGGUCACAGAGCCCUAACAUAACUACAAAGGAUCCUGAAAAAUGUUGUAUUCCAGUGUACGUCGGAAAAGAAAAUGGGAUUGAUAAACUUUGAUUAGACUAAA
Mandrillus leucophaeus (drill) is the source of this 515-nucleotide long non-coding RNA. RefSeq lists it as uncharacterized. The transcript is spliced from 3 exons. Lineage: Eukaryota; Metazoa; Chordata; Mammalia; Primates; Cercopithecidae. The record is from RefSeq and is a predicted model, not a curated record.